GGGGGUUGUUUCCAGAAGACCCUCGGCUCAAGUGCAUCAAACCUUCACAUGAUGGUAGAAUAUAGUCAAUCUAGAUUCUACGAAUGAAAAGUCAAAAUGCAGCCUAAGAUUAAGGAGAAAGCAACACAAAUUCAUAAUCUAAAGCCAUUCUUCGAUAUCUUUUACCUAACAAGAUUAAUACAGUUGAAAGUUUUUAGUUCUAUGAUUUCUCUGAUUACCAACUUGUCGAGGACAAUAGAUCAAAUUCAAAGCAGAAUUGCAAG
This 263-nucleotide unclassified non-coding RNA is filed under the name Hevea brasiliensis (rubber tree). The record is from RNAcentral. Lineage: Eukaryota; Viridiplantae; Streptophyta; Magnoliopsida; Malpighiales; Euphorbiaceae.